UGCUUCUAAAGGAUAACAGCUCAUCCAUUGGUCUUAGGAACCAAAAACUCUUGGUGCAAAUCCAAGUAGCAGC
This 73-nucleotide transfer RNA is filed under the name Sebastiscus marmoratus (false kelpfish). Its description in RNAcentral is "tRNA-Leu". It matches the Rfam family "tRNA". Rfam says of the family: Transfer RNA (tRNA) molecules are approximately 80 nucleotides in length. Their secondary structure includes four short double-helical elements and three loops (D, anti-codon, and T loops). Further hydrogen bonds mediate the characteristic L-shaped molecular structure. tRNAs have two regions of fundamental functional importance: the anti-codon, which is responsible for specific mRNA codon recognition, and the 3' end, to which the tRNAs corresponding amino acid is attached (by aminoacyl-tRNA synthetases). tRNAs cope with the degeneracy of the genetic code in two manners: having more than one tRNA (with a specific anti-codon) for a particular amino acid; and 'wobble' base-pairing, i.e. permitting non-standard base-pairing at the 3rd anti-codon position. Lineage: Eukaryota; Metazoa; Chordata; Actinopteri; Perciformes; Sebastidae. The record is from RNAcentral.